GGUCAAGUGAAGAAGCGCAUACGGUGGAUGCCUUGGCAGUCAGAGGCGAUGAAAGACGUGGUAGCCUGCGAAAAGCUUCGGGGAGUCGGCAAACAGACUUUGAUCCGGAGAUGUCUGAAUGGGGGAACCCAGCCAUCAUAAGAUGGUUAUCUUGUACUGAAUACAUAGGUGCAAGAGGCGAACCAGGGGAACUGAAACAUCUAAGUACCCUGAGGAAAAGAAAUCAACCGAGAUUCCCUUAGUAGUGGCGAGCGAACGGGGACUAGCCCUUAAGUGGCUUUGAGAUUAGCGGAACGCUCUGGAAAGUGCGGCCAUAGUGGGUGAUAGCCCUGUACGCGAAAAUCUCUUAGUCAUGAAAUCGAGUAGGACGGAGCACGAGAAACUUUGUCUGAAUAUGGGGGGACCAUCCUCCAAGGCUAAAUACUACUGACUGACCGAUAGUGAACUAGUACCGUGAGGGAAAGGCGAAAAGAACCCCGGAGAGGGGAGUGAAAUAGAUCCUGAAACCGUAUGCGUACAAGCAGUGGGAGCCCACUUUGUUGGGUGACUGCGUACCUUUUGUAUAAUGGGUCAGCGACUUAUUUUCAGUGGCGAGCUUAACCGAAUAGGGGAGGCGUAGCGAAAGCGAGUCUUAAUAGGGCGUCUAGUCGCUGGGAAUAGACCCGAAACCGGGCGAUCUAUCCAUGGGCAGGUUGAAGGUUGGGUAACACUAACUGGAGGACCGAACCGACUACCGUUGAAAAGUUAGCGGAUGACCUGUGGAUCGGAGUGAAAGGCUAAUCAAGCUCGGAGAUAGCUGGUUCUCCUCGAAAGCUAUUUAGGUAGCGCCUCAUGUAUCACUGUAGGGGGUAGAGCACUGUUUCGGCUAGGGGGUCAUCCCGACUUACCAAACCGAUGCAAACUCCGAAUACCUACAAGUGCCGAGCAUGGGAGACACACGGCGGGUGCUAACGUCCGUCGUGAAAAGGGAAACAACCCAGACCGUCAGCUAAGGUCCCAAAGUUAUGGUUAAGUGGGAAACGAUGUGGGAAGGCUUAGACAGCUAGGAGGUUGGCUUAGAAGCAGCCACCCUUUAAAGAAAGCGUAAUAGCUCACUAGUCGAGUCGGCCUGCGCGGAAGAUGUAACGGGGCUCAAACCAUACACCGAAGCUACGGGUAUCACGUAAGUGAUGCGGUAGAGGAGCGUUCUGUAAGCCUGUGAAGGUGAGUUGAGAAGCUUGCUGGAGGUAUCAGAAGUGCGAAUGCUGACAUGAGUAACGACAAUGGGUGUGAAAAACACCCACGCCGAAAGACCAAGGUUUCCUGCGCAACGUUAAUCGACGCAGGGUUAGUCGGUCCCUAAGGCGAGGCUGAAAAGCGUAGUCGAUGGAAAACAGGUUAAUAUUCCUGUACUUCUGGUUAUUGCGAUGGAGGGACGGAGAAGGCUAGGCCAGCUUGGCGUUGGUUGUCCAAGUUUAAGGUGGUAGGCUGGAAUCUUAGGUAAAUCCGGGAUUCUAAGGCCGAGAGCUGAUGACGAGCUAACUUUUAGUUAGCGAAGUGGUUGAUGCCAUGCUUCCAAGAAAAGCUUCUAAGCUUCAGGUAACCAGGAACCGUACCCCAAACCGACACAGGUGGUUGGGUAGAGAAUACCAAGGCGCUUGAGAGAACUCGGGUGAAGGAACUAGGCAAAAUGGCACCGUAACUUCGGGAGAAGGUGCGCCGGUGAGGGUGAAGGACUUGCUCCGUAAGCCCAUGCCGGUCGAAGAUACCAGGCCGCUGCGACUGUUUAUUAAAAACACAGCACUCUGCAAACACGAAAGUGGACGUAUAGGGUGUGACGCCUGCCCGGUGCCGGAAGGUUAAUUGAUGGGGUUAGCUAACGCGAAGCUCUUGAUCGAAGCCCCGGUAAACGGCGGCCGUAACUAUAACGGUCCUAAGGUAGCGAAAUUCCUUGUCGGGUAAGUUCCGACCUGCACGAAUGGCGUAACGAUGGCGGCGCUGUCUCCACCCGAGACUCAGUGAAAUUGAAAUCGCUGUGAAGAUGCAGUGUAUCCGCGGCUAGACGGAAAGACCCCGUGAACCUUUACUAUAGCUUUGCACUGGACUUUGAAUUUGCUUGUGUAGGAUAGGUGGGAGGCUUUGAAGCGUGGACGCCAGUCUGCGUGGAGCCAACCUUGAAAUACCACCCUGGCAACUUUGAGGUUCUAACUCAGGUCCGUUAUCCGGAUCGAGGACAGUGUAUGGUGGGUAGUUUGACUGGGGCGGUCUCCUCCUAAAGAGUAACGGAGGAGUACGAAGGUGCGCUCAGACCGGUCGGAAAUCGGUCGUAGAGUAUAAAGGCAAAAGCGCGCUUGACUGCGAGACAGACACGUCGAGCAGGUACGAAAGUAGGUCUUAGUGAUCCGGUGGUUCUGUAUGGAAGGGCCAUCGCUCAACGGAUAAAAGGUACUCCGGGGAUAACAGGCUGAUACCGCCCAAGAGUUCAUAUCGACGGCGGUGUUUGGCACCUCGAUGUCGGCUCAUCACAUCCUGGGGCUGAAGCCGGUCCCAAGGGUAUGGCUGUUCGCCAUUUAAAGUGGUACGCGAGCUGGGUUUAGAACGUCGUGAGACAGUUCGGUCCCUAUCUGCCGUGGACGUUUGAGAUUUGAGAGGGGCUGCUCCUAGUACGAGAGGACCGGAGUGGACGAACCUCUGGUGUUCCGGUUGUCACGCCAGUGGCAUUGCCGGGUAGCUAUGUUCGGAAUAGAUAACCGCUGAAAGCAUCUAAGCGGGAAACUAGCCUCAAGAUGAGAUCUCACUGGAACCUUGAGUUCCCUGAAGGGCCGUCGAAGACUACGACGUUGAUAGGUUGGGUGUGUAAGCGCUGUGAGGCGUUGAGCUAACCAAUACUAAUUGCCCGUGAGGCUUGACCAU
This 2892-nucleotide ribosomal RNA is filed under the name Pseudomonas asgharzadehiana. RNAcentral's name for it is "23S ribosomal RNA". It matches the Rfam family "Bacterial large subunit ribosomal RNA". The record is from RNAcentral. Lineage: Bacteria; Pseudomonadati; Pseudomonadota; Gammaproteobacteria; Pseudomonadales; Pseudomonadaceae.